GCCCGGAUAGCUCAGCAGGGAGAGCGCUCGUCCCACACACGAGAGGCCGCAGGAUCGACACCUGCUCCGGGCACCG
This 76-nucleotide transfer RNA is filed under the name Euzebya pacifica. Its description in RNAcentral is "Euzebya sp. DY32-46 tRNA-Val". The record is from RNAcentral. Lineage: Bacteria; Bacillati; Actinomycetota; Nitriliruptoria; Euzebyales; Euzebyaceae.